This 423-nucleotide long non-coding RNA is filed under the name Capsicum annuum. RNAcentral's name for it is "long non-coding RNA (CANN_LNC015780)". Lineage: Eukaryota; Viridiplantae; Streptophyta; Magnoliopsida; Solanales; Solanaceae. The record is from RNAcentral.
UCAAACUACAAAUUAUGCCCCGCGGGUAAGAGUUGACUUUACCACGUUAUGUUUUAAUUUAUAAGAUGUUCUACAACUAUUGCCUUAGAGGCAAGACUUAGCUCAAGAACUUUCAAACAACAAAUUACGCCUCAUGGGCAAGAGUUGACUCUACCACUUUAUGUUUUCAUGCCCUUAAAUUUGCUUUGAUGUCAAAAAAAGAAGAUCCCUUUGCGGAUUAUCCAAUUUUUUAUUUAUUAGUAAAAUAAAAUAGAAGUUGAGAAAAAAGAAAAAAGCGAUCAAACAAAAUAGAGAAACAAAAAAACAAUUGAGAAAAAAAAGCAAGAAAAAAAUAAAGAUUAAGAAAAAAGCCAAGAAUUAAAAAAAUUGAGAAAAAUAAAAAUAAGAGAAAAAAUAAAAAUAAAUUUUGAGAAAAAUGAGGGA